AUUGAACGCUGGCGGCAUGCCUUACACAUGCAAGUCGAACGGUAACGCGGGGCAACCUGGCGACGAGUGGCGAACGGGUGAGUAACGCAUCGGAACGGGCCCAAUAGUGGGGGAUAGCCCGGCGAAAGCCGGCUUAAUACCGCAUACGACCUACGGGUGCAAGCAGGGGAUCGCAAGAACUUGCGCCAAUGGAGCGGCCGAUGUCAGAUUAGGUUGUUGGUGGGGUAAAAGCCCACCAAGCCGACGAUAUGUAGCUGGUCUGAGAGGACGACCAGCCACACUGGGACUGAGACACGGCCCAGACUCCUACGGGAGGCAGCAGUGGGGAAUUUUGGACAAUGGGCGCAAGCCUGAUCCAGCCAUGCCGCGUGCGGGAUGAAGGCCUUCGGGUUGUAAACCGCUUUUGUUAGGGAAGAAAUCUUUUGAGCUAAUACCUCGGAAGGAUGACGGUACCUAAAGAAUAAGCACCGGCUAACUACGUGCCAGCCGCCGCCGUAA
Molecule: ribosomal RNA, 498 nt
Filed under: uncultured bacterium
Lineage: Bacteria
Description: partial 16S ribosomal RNA
Rfam family: Bacterial small subunit ribosomal RNA
Source: RNAcentral